This 515-nucleotide ribosomal RNA is filed under the name uncultured Entrophospora. RNAcentral's name for it is "SSU rRNA". It matches the Rfam family "Eukaryotic small subunit ribosomal RNA", at positions 569 to 1078 of the family's 1831-position model. Lineage: Eukaryota; Fungi; Glomeromycota; Glomeromycetes; Entrophosporales; Entrophosporaceae. The record is from RNAcentral.
AGCAGCCGCGGUAAUUCCAGCUCCAAUAGCGUAUAUUAAAGUUGUUGCAGUUAAAAAGCUCGUAGUUGAAUUUCGGGAUUGACGUGAUGGUCAUGCCUUAAGGGGUAUGAACUGUUACUGUUGAUUUCUCACCUUCUGGAGAAACCUGAUGUCCUUUAUUGGGUGUCUUGCGGAUCCAGGACCUUUACCUUGAAAAAAUUAGAGUGUUUAAAGCAGGCAUUUUUGCUCGAAUACAUUAGCAUGGAAUAAUAGAAUAGGACGGUCAUGGUUCUAUUUUGUUGGUUUCUAGGAUCACCGUAAUGAUUAAUAGGGAUAGUUGGGGGCAUUAGUAUUCAAUUGUCAGAGGUGAAAUUCUUGGAUUUAUUGAAGACUAACUACUGCGAAAGCAUUUGCCAAGGAUGUUUUCAUUAAUCAAGAACGAAAGUUAGGGGAUCGAAGACGAUCAGAUACCGUCGUAGUCUUAACCAUAAACUAUGCCGACUAGGGAUCGGAUGAUGUUAAUUUUUAAUGACUCU